This 949-nucleotide ribosomal RNA is filed under the name uncultured organism. RNAcentral's name for it is "bacterial SSU rRNA". It matches the Rfam family "Bacterial small subunit ribosomal RNA", at positions 462 to 1427 of the family's 1533-position model. The record is from RNAcentral.
AUGCGGUAUGACGGUACCCUUUCGAAUAAGAGGUUGCUAACUCUGUGCCAGCAGCAGCGGUAAUACAGAGACCUCGAGCGUUAUCCGGAUUUACUGGGCGUAAAGCGUCUGUAGGGGGUUUGUUAAGUUCCAAGUAAAAUCUUAAGGCUCAACUUUAAGUUCGCUUGGAAAACUAAUAAACUGGAGUCCAGCAGAGAUGCAUGGAACUUGCGGUGUAGGAGCGAAAUCCGUUGAUAUCGCAAGGAACACCAAAGGCGAAGGCAUUGCACUGGGCUGGUACUGACCCUGAGAGACGAAAGCGUGGGGAGCAAAACGGAUUAGAUACCCGUGUAGUCCACGCCGUAAACGAUGGAUACUAGAUGUUCGGGGAUUCGACCCCCUGGGUGUCACAGCUAACGCGUUAAGUAUCCCGCCUGGGAAGUACGGCCGCAAGGCUAAAACUCAAAGGAAUAGACGGGGAUCCGCACAAGCGGUGGAGCGUCUGGUUUAAUUUGAUAGUAAGCAAUGGACCUCACCAAGGUUUGACAUCCUAUGACAACCCUGGAAACAGGGCUUCCUUCGGGCAUAGUGACAGGUGCUGCAUGGUCGUCGUCAGUUCGUGCCGUGAGGUGUUCCGUUAAGUCGGGAAACGAACGAAACCCUCGUCGCAUGUUACAAAUUUCAUGCGAGACUGCCCGGGUCAACCGGGAGGAAGGCGGGGAUGACGUCAGAUCAGCAUGGCCCUUAUACCUUGGGCUACACAGGCGCUACAAUGGCCGGUACAAAGGGUUGCAAAACCGCGAGGUGAAGCUAAUCCCAUAAAGCCGGUCCAAGUUCGGAUUGGAGGCUGCAACUCGCCUCCAUGAAGUUGGAAUCGCUAGUAAUCGUGGAUCAGCCAUACCACGGUGAUACGUUCCCGGAUCUUGUACUCACCGCCCGUCACACCAAGAGAGUUGGUAGCUCCUGAAGC